GAUUAACGCUGGCGGCGUGCCUAACACAUGCAGGUCGAACGAUGAAACUUUAAUGACCCCUUCGGGGAGAAUUAAAGCGGCUUAGUGGCGAACGGGUGAGUACCGCGUGAGUAACCUGCCUUACACAAGGGGAUAGCCUUUGGAAACGAAGAAUAAUACCCUAUAAAACCAUAAAAGCACAUGCAAUUAUGGUCAAAGUGAUAGCGGUGUAAGAUGGACUUGCGUCUGAUUAGCUAGUUGGUGAGAUAAAAGCCCACCAAGGCAACGAUCAGUCGCCGGCAUGAGAGAGUGUACGGCAACAUUGGGACUGAGACACGGCCCAGACUCCUACGGGAGGCAGCAGUGGGGAAUGUGGCACAAUGGGGGAAACCCGGAGGCAGCGACGCCGCGAGAUUUAGAAGGCCUUCGGGUUGUAAAAAGCUUUUGUAUAGGAAGAAAAUGACAGUACUAUACGAAUAAGGUCCGGCUAAUUACGUG
Molecule: ribosomal RNA, 477 nt
Filed under: uncultured bacterium
Lineage: Bacteria
Description: partial 16S ribosomal RNA
Rfam family: Bacterial small subunit ribosomal RNA
Source: RNAcentral